AUGGACGGCCUGCACAGCGCCGACGCCUGCUUCUCUCUUGGGAGGGCCAUGUCGCCUCAGGUCCGGCCCCCCAUCGGCCCGCCGGACGUAGGCAGCACCCUCUGGAUCGCCAAGCUCUGUUCAGACCAAAAGAUAAGCGCGGAUAUACUGCUGCAGAUUGCCCAAUGA
This 168-nucleotide ribosomal RNA is filed under the name Triticum aestivum (bread wheat). RNAcentral describes it as "partial small subunit ribosomal RNA". The record is from RNAcentral. Lineage: Eukaryota; Viridiplantae; Streptophyta; Magnoliopsida; Poales; Poaceae.